RNAcentral lists this long non-coding RNA (240 nucleotides) under Lathyrus oleraceus (garden pea). Its description in RNAcentral is "Pisum sativum (pea) long non-coding RNA (PSAT_LNC024232)". The record is from RNAcentral. Lineage: Eukaryota; Viridiplantae; Streptophyta; Magnoliopsida; Fabales; Fabaceae.
UGUGUAGGCCAGGCUAUGACUUAGAACUACUGGGGUGACGCGAGAGAUUCCAUGAAAAUAAAUCAAUGGAAAGACUCAACCGUGGAUGAAAAGAACACCUGUAGGGGAAACGGGUAGAUCAGACCAAAUCUGAAAUACUCGAACCAAGAAGGAAAAAGCGAUCUCACUGAGGAAAUACACACUCAAACUUAACUGGGGAAGAGAUGAUCUUCAACACAGGAGUAACAUAAAUGUAUUAUC